CUGCGCCUGGCCAGGUCCGGGCCGCACGAUCCCGGCGUGAUUGAGGCGGAAGCGCGGUUCGGGGACCUGAUCCUUGGCAGUUGGCGCAGC
RNAcentral lists this transfer RNA (90 nucleotides) under Paenarthrobacter nitroguajacolicus. RNAcentral describes it as "tRNA-Gly". The record is from RNAcentral. Lineage: Bacteria; Bacillati; Actinomycetota; Actinomycetes; Micrococcales; Micrococcaceae.